Molecule: ribosomal RNA, 478 nt
Filed under: uncultured bacterium
Lineage: Bacteria
Description: partial 16S ribosomal RNA
Rfam family: Bacterial small subunit ribosomal RNA
Source: RNAcentral
GAUGAACGCUGGCGGCGUGCUUAACACAUGCAAGUCGAACGGGAAUUAUUUUAUUGAAACUUCGGUCGAUUUAAUUUAAUUCUAGUGGCGGACGGGUGAGUAACGCGUGGGUAACCUGCCUUAUACAGGGGGAUAACAGUCAGAAAUGGCUGCUAAUACCGCAUAAGCGCACAGAGCUGCAUGGCUCAGUGUGAAAAACUCCGGUGGUAUAAGAUGGACCCGCGUUGGAUUAGCUGGUUGGUGGGGUAACGGCCCACCAAGGCGACGAUCCAUAGCCGGCCUGAGAGGGGGAACGGCCACAUUGGGAAUGAGACACGGCCCAGACUCCUACGGGAGGCAGGAGUGGGGAAUAUUGCACAAUGGGGGAAACCCUGAUGCAGCGACGCCGCGUGAAGGAAGAAGUAUCUCGGUAUGUAAACUUCUAUCAGCAGGGAAGAUAGUGACGGUACCUGACUAAGAAGCCCCGGCUAACUACGUG